This 605-nucleotide ribosomal RNA is filed under the name Microbacterium sp. CMT220. Its description in RNAcentral is "bacterial SSU rRNA". It matches the Rfam family "Bacterial small subunit ribosomal RNA", at positions 271 to 885 of the family's 1533-position model. Lineage: Bacteria; Bacillati; Actinomycetota; Actinomycetes; Micrococcales; Microbacteriaceae. The record is from RNAcentral.
AGGCGUCGACGGGUAGCCGGCCUGAGAGGGUGACCGGCCACACUGGGACUGAGACACGGCCCAGACUCCUACGGGAGGCAGCAGUGGGGAAUAUUGCACAAUGGGCGAAAGCCUGAUGCAGCAACGCCGCGUGAGGGAUGACGGCCUUCGGGUUGUAAACCUCUUUUAGCAGGGAAGAAGCGAGAGUGACGGUACCUGCAGAAAAAGCGCCGGCUAACUACGUGCCAGCAGCCGCGGUAAUACGUAGGGCGCAAGCGUUAUCCGGAAUUAUUGGGCGUAAAGAGCUCGUAGGCGGUUUGUCGCGUCUGCUGUGAAAUCCCGAGGCUCAACCUCGGGCCUGCAGUGGGUACGGGCAGACUAGAGUGCGGUAGGGGAGAUUGGAAUUCCUGGUGUAGCGGUGGAAUGCGCAGAUAUCAGGAGGAACACCGAUGGCGAAGGCAGAUCUCUGGGCCGUAACUGACGCUGAGGAGCGAAAGGGUGGGGAGCAAACAGGCUUAGAUACCCUGGUAGUCCACCCCGUAAACGUUGGGAACUAGUUGUGGGGACCAUUCCACGGUUUCCGUGACGCAGCUAACGCAUUAAGUUCCCCGCCUGGGGGAGUACGG